RNAcentral lists this long non-coding RNA (287 nucleotides) under Elaeis guineensis (African oil palm). RNAcentral's name for it is "long non-coding RNA (EGUI_LNC020222)". The record is from RNAcentral. Lineage: Eukaryota; Viridiplantae; Streptophyta; Magnoliopsida; Arecales; Arecaceae.
UGGUGUGAGUGAUCCUUUGACCUACAGUAUCAUCGGCUAUUCAUAGUGAGACUACUGAGUUUGACUGCAUAUUUUCUUGAUCCCUAGUCAUUCGGAUCCUUACUGUAUAUGUUGUCUACAGUAUAUUUAGAUUUGCUGUUAGGAGUAGAAUGCAUCUAGAUAAAAUCUAUCGAUCUUGAUAGAAAAAGAGAAAUACUAUACAUUUUAUGAGACUGAGUUUAGAAAGUCUUCCAUUGAAGCAAGUGUGAAUAUUAGAAAAGAAUUUCUACAGAAUUCAUAAGUGAACU